Molecule: long non-coding RNA, 214 nt
Filed under: Lathyrus oleraceus (garden pea)
Lineage: Eukaryota; Viridiplantae; Streptophyta; Magnoliopsida; Fabales; Fabaceae
Description: Pisum sativum (pea) long non-coding RNA (PSAT_LNC029895)
Source: RNAcentral
AAAGUGUUGUCAUAAAAUUUAUAAUUUGUAGUAACAAAUAUGGAGUCAAAUAUUUUUAAUUAAAUUAUGGUUGUUUUUUAUGUUAAUUCUUUUUUUUUUAUGAUAAUACUUUUUUGACCAGGAUUUAAUGAGAAUAUUUAAUUCGUAAUUAGGGAUAGAAAUAGACUAGGAUUUUAGAAGUCUUGAGUCUGACCUACGAUAAACUUACAAGUCC